GACGAACGCUGGCGGCGUGCCUAAUACAUGCAAGUUGAGCGAUGAAGAUUGGUGCUUGCACCAAUUUGAAGAGCAGCGAACGGGUGAGUAACGCGUGGGGAAUCUGCCUUUGAGCGGGGGACAACAUUUGGAAACGAAUGCUAAUACCGCAUAAUAACUUUAAACAUAAGUUUUAAGUUUGAAAGAUGAAAUUGCAUCACUCAAAGAUGAUCCCGCGAUGUAUUAGCUAGUUGGUGAGGUAAAGGCUCACCAAGGCGAUGAUACAUAGCCGACCUGAGAGGGUGAUCGGCCACAUUGGGACUGAGACACGGCCCAAACUCCUACGGGAGGCAGCAGUAGGGAAUCUUCGGCAAUGGACGAAAGUCUGACCGAGCAACGCCGCGUGAGUGAAGAAGGUUUUCGGAUCGUAAAACUCUGUUGGUAGAGAAGAACGUUGGUGAGAGUGGAAAGCUCAUCAAGUGACGGUAACUACCCAGAAAGGGACGGCUAACUACGUG
RNAcentral lists this ribosomal RNA (497 nucleotides) under uncultured bacterium. Its description in RNAcentral is "partial 16S ribosomal RNA". It matches the Rfam family "Bacterial small subunit ribosomal RNA", at positions 28 to 507 of the family's 1533-position model. The record is from RNAcentral.